AAGUGGUGGACUAUUUGAGAGUAUUGGCCUUUCACCAAUUAGCGAUGAUGUGACUCAUUUUAGAGCAAGCGAUAAGUGCCAAAAAGAGAAAAGGAAAACAAUUAAUGGGGAUGAUUUGUUGUGGGCAAUGGCAACUUUGGGUUUUGAGGAUUAUAUAGCCCCGCUGAAGGCCUAUUUGGCCAGGUAUAGAGAGUUAGAGGGCGACACGAAAGGACCUGCUAGGGGUGCUGAUGGAUCCGCAAAGAAAGAUACAAUUGGAACUCAGCUGGGUUCUGAUGCACAGUUUGCUCAUCAAGGUUCUUUUUCACAAGGUUUCAGUUACUCGAACUCCCAAAUUGAAUAUUGACCAAGAGAAUAGAAUAUGGUCGGCGCCCAAGCAACGGCAAGGAUCCAGCUCCCCGGUGCUGAGUUAAUCUCAGGAUAUGGCGGUCAGUUGAUAUUGGUUGAUGUACCUGGAAUUUUAUACCCAACUCUAUCAAAGAAGUAUGAUGAUGUGAUCUUUGUUUGCUAGUUGUUAUCUGUAAAUCCUGAUAUUAAGUUAUGAACUCUACAUUCUGCUCA
This is a non-coding RNA of Sesamum indicum (sesame), 561 nucleotides long. The record is from RefSeq and is a predicted model, not a curated record. Lineage: Eukaryota; Viridiplantae; Streptophyta; Magnoliopsida; Lamiales; Pedaliaceae.